UACGUAGGGUGCGAGCGUUAAUCGGAAUUACUGGGCGUAAAGCGUGCGCAGGCGGUUUUGUAAGACAGCUGUGAAAUCCCCGGGCUUAACCUGGGAACUGCGGUUGUGACUGCAAGACUGGAGUCAGGCAGGGGGGGGUGGAAUUCCACGUGUAGCAGUGAAAUGCGUAGAGAUGUGGAGGAACACCGAUGGCGAAGGCAGCCCCCUGGGCUAUGACUGACGCUCAUGCACGAAAGCGUGGGGAGCAAACAGG
This 253-nucleotide ribosomal RNA is filed under the name uncultured prokaryote. Its description in RNAcentral is "partial 16S ribosomal RNA". It matches the Rfam family "Bacterial small subunit ribosomal RNA", at positions 524 to 776 of the family's 1533-position model. The record is from RNAcentral.